GGGCUACCCCAGUAGAAUAGAAGCUGCUGUCUGGGAGAGGACAAGGGGAAGACUCUGGGCAUGAGGACCCUUUUCCAUUCUCAGUGUGCCAAGGAUCCCUAAGCCCUGCCAGAGAAGGUUCUCCAUUGGUCCCAGAUCAUGACUACUGUAAAUAUCCAAGGCACUGAAGAGGUUUAUUCAUGGCUACCCUGUGCUGAUCCUUCAGCACACCCAGCCAAUAUUUGUCAUUUGGUUCUUUUGUUAAACAUUUUGAGCCAUUACACUGUGCCUUGGUGUGCUGAGAUCUGGAACUGCACAAAGGAAAAAAGACGAUACUCCGACCUCAGACAAGUUUAAAAUCAAUAGAGGGAACAUGGCCAGGUAAUCAAAUAUGCUUCUAUCCUUGAGAUAGGUGUCCUCAAUCAGAUGGAUGAUUAGACUCCUUGUGAAAUCAGAGGGAAAGAAGAGACUUAUGGGGAGAAGAUUCUCACAGGUCCAUUGCUGACAUAGUAGGCAGAUGCUGAAAAGUACCCUGAAUAGGGGUAAUUCUCUCAGGAACACAGCAGGGAAAUGGAUCCUUGAACUUCUCACGACCUGAGUUUUGCACCAAGCUUCUCUCCUGAGAAUGGACAUGGGGAUCAAGUUCAACACAUAGUCAGAGAGGGCGUGAAAGAGUUCUUAGAAUUUGGGACCACUGGCCCUCCUUCCAUGUUACCACCCAGCACCUCUUCUUCGGUAGCAUGAUGGAUGACAGAACUAUUUAUGAACUUCUCAGCCUUCAGCUGCCUGGAUACAUGGAGCACGAGCGUUUUAGUUUUUUACCAGAACUUUACCACUGUUGCCUAAAGAGACAUUGACAAGGGAAUAUGUCUAAUAUUGGUGGGAUUUCAAACAUAAAUAAUUUCAAAACCCGUGUUGUAUCACCCCUACUCUUCAUUCUGUAGCAAAAAGGAUAGGACAUCACUACCUGCUCAGGAAAUGCCUUCGUUCUGCUCCUCCCCUGAUCCCCUACCAGUAGUCACAGGACCUUCUCAAUUUCAUUCAGUUCAGAAAGGUCUUUUGCCCCUUAAUCCAUUCACAGAAGAUGAAAUUAUGUGUAGUAACUUUUUAAAAAUCUUCAAAUCCCGGCUAUAUUCCUUAAAGCUGUGACAAAGUGCUUGAGCCUCAAAAUCCUAUUUUGGAAAAUUGGUGAUGACAAUGUCUACUUCCCAGUGUUCUUAGAAGCCAUUAGGGCUGCCAUAGGCAGCAUUUUUACAUCAGUGCCUAUCAUUGAACUAAAAACAAUUGCUUUACUGAUCCUAUCUAUUUCCCUGAGAUAGUAAUCCUUUGACACAUCAGUUUGUAUUACUGGAAUAAACACUUCAGUGUCCUGGUAUUCCAGUCUUUACUGCCUUCCUCCCUUCCAAUCCAUUCUCCACUAGCUGCCAGCUUAAUAUAUCCAAAUGUUUGCCAGUUUCUUAAAUCAUCAUGGCUGACUGUUUACUCACAGAUUAAGUCCAGGAUCCCUAAUUUGUAUUCUAAGCAAAUCUGCUUUGGCUUCCAUCUUUUCUCCAGUUACUCAGACUUACAAUGCCACAACCACACAGAGCUGAAAGUGGUUUUAAACACACCUGGUAUU
RNAcentral lists this long non-coding RNA (1597 nucleotides) under Equus asinus (donkey). RNAcentral describes it as "lncRNA (ENSEASG00005030116.1)". The record is from RNAcentral. Lineage: Eukaryota; Metazoa; Chordata; Mammalia; Perissodactyla; Equidae.